Molecule: ribosomal RNA, 450 nt
Filed under: uncultured bacterium
Lineage: Bacteria
Description: partial 16S ribosomal RNA
Rfam family: Bacterial small subunit ribosomal RNA
Source: RNAcentral
GUGGGGAAUAUUGGACAAUGGGCGAAAGCCUGAUCCAGCCAUGCCGCGUGUGUGAAGAAGGUCUUCGGAUUGUAAAGCACUUUAAGUUGGGAGGAAGGGCAGUAAGUUAAUACCUUGCUGUUUUGACGUUACCGACAGAAUAAGCACCGGCUAACUUCGUGCCAGCAGCCGCGGUAAUACGAAGGGUGCAAGCGUUAAUCGGAAUUACUGGGCGUAAAGCGCGCGUAGGUGGUUUUGUAAGUUGGAGGUGAAAUCCGCGGGCUCAACCUGGGAACUGCCUCCAAAACUGAAUGACUAGAGUACGGUAGAGGGUAGUGGAAUUUCCUGUGUAGCGGUGAAAUGCGUAGAUAUAGGAAGGAACACCAGUGGCGAAGGCGACUACCUGGACUGAUACUGACACUGAGGUGCGAAAGCGUGGGGAGCAAACAGGAUUAGAAACCCCAGUAGUCC